CAUAGGGGAUAAGUAUUUAUUUCUAUUAUGGCCACUAGGUGGAGCUGAGGAGCAUAGGGGAUAAGUACUUAUUUCUAUUAUGGCCAGUAGGUGGCGCUGAGGAGCAUAGGGGAGAAGUAUGUAUUUCUAUUGUGGCCACUAGGUGGAGCUGAGGAGCAUAGGGUAUAAGUACUUAUUUCUAUUAUGGCCAGUAGGUGGCGCUGAGGAGCAUAGGGGAGAAGUAUGUAUUUCUAUUAUGGCCACUAGGUGGAGCUGAGGAGCAUAGGGGAUAAGUACUUAUUUCUAUUAUGGCCAGUAGGUGGCGCUGAGGAGCAUAGGGGAGAAGUAUGUAUUUCUAUUGUGGCCACUAGGUGGAGCUGAGGAGCAUAGG
This is a long non-coding RNA of Nanorana parkeri, 370 nucleotides long. RefSeq lists it as uncharacterized. NCBI's taxonomy places the organism in Eukaryota, Metazoa, Chordata, Amphibia, Anura, Dicroglossidae. The transcript has 2 exons. The record is from RefSeq and is a predicted model, not a curated record.